This 483-nucleotide ribosomal RNA is filed under the name uncultured bacterium. RNAcentral describes it as "partial 16S ribosomal RNA". It matches the Rfam family "Bacterial small subunit ribosomal RNA", at positions 30 to 507 of the family's 1533-position model. The record is from RNAcentral.
AUUGAACGCUGGCGGCAGGCCUAACACAUGCAAGUCGAGCGGAUGAAGGGAGCUUGCUCCGGAUUCAGCGGCGGACGGGUGAGGAAUGCCUAGGAAUCUGCCUGGUAGUGGGGGAUAACGUCCGGAAACGGGCGCUAAUACCGCAUACGUCCUGAGGGAGAAAGUGGGGGAUCUUCGGACCUCACGCUAUCAGAUGAGCCUAGGUCGGAUUAGCUAGUUGGUGGGGUAAAGGCCUACCAAGGCGACGAUCCGUAACUGGUCUGAGAGGAUGAUCAGUCACACUGGAACUGAGACACGGUCCAGACUCCUACGGGAGGCAGCAGUGGGGAAUAUUGGACAAUGGGCGAAAGCCUGAUCCAGCCAUGCCGCGUGUGUGAAGAAGGUCUUCGGAUUGUAAAGCACUUUAAGUUGGGAGGAAGGGCAGUAAGUUAAUACCUUGCUGUUUUGACGUUACCAACAGAAUAAGCACCGGCUAACUUCGUG